AAUACUUAGGAAUCUGCCCAUUAAUGGGGGACAACAGUUGGAAACGACUGCUAAUACCGCAUACGCCCUACGGGGGAAAGCAGGGGAUCUUCGGACCUUGCGUUAAUGGAUGAGCCUAAGUCGGAUUAGCUAGUUGGUGGGGUAAAGGCCUACCAAGGCGACGAUCUGUAGCGGGUCUGAGAGGAUGAUCCGCCACACUGGGACUGAGACACGGCCCAGACUCCUACGGGAGGCAGCAGUGGGGAAUAUUGGACAAUGGGGGGAACCCUGAUCCAGCCAUGCCGCGUGUGUGAAGAAGGCCUUUUGGUUGUAAAGCACUUUAAGCGAGGAGGAGGCUACUAGUAUUAACACUACUGGAUAGUGGACGUUACUCGCAGAAUAAGCACCGGCUAACUCUGUGCCAGCAGCCGCGGUAAUACAGAGGGUGCGAGCGUUAAUCGGAUUUACUGGGCGUAAAGCGUGCGUAGGUGGCCAAUUAAGUCAAAUGUGAAAUCCCCGAGCUUAACUUGGGAAUUGCAUUCGAUACUGGUUGGCUAGAGUAUGGGAGAGGAUGGUAGAAUUCCAGGUGUAGCGGUGAAAUGCGUAGAGAUCUGGAGG
RNAcentral lists this ribosomal RNA (597 nucleotides) under uncultured bacterium. RNAcentral's name for it is "bacterial SSU rRNA". It matches the Rfam family "Bacterial small subunit ribosomal RNA", at positions 112 to 704 of the family's 1533-position model. The record is from RNAcentral.